This 385-nucleotide ribosomal RNA is filed under the name uncultured bacterium. Its description in RNAcentral is "bacterial SSU rRNA". It matches the Rfam family "Bacterial small subunit ribosomal RNA", at positions 29 to 416 of the family's 1533-position model. The record is from RNAcentral.
AUUAAACGCUGGCGGCAUGCCUUACACAUGCAAGUCGAACGGCAGCACGGGGGCAACCCUGGUGGCGAGUGGCGGACGGGUGAGUAAAGCAUCGGAACGUAUCCUGGAGUGGGGGAUAACGUAGCGAAAGUUACGCUAAUACCGCAUAUUCUGUGAGCAGGAAAGCAGGGGAUCGCAAGACCUUGCGCUCUGGGAGCGGCCGAUGUCGGAUUAGCUAGUUGGUGGGUAAAGGCCUACCAAGGCGACGAUCCGUAGCGGGUCUGAGAGGAUGAUCCGCCACACUGGGACUGAGACACGGCCCAGACUCCUACGGGAGGCAGCAGUGGGGAAUUUUGGACAAUGGGCGCAAGCCUGAUCCAGCCAUGCCGCGUGAGUGAAGAAGGCC